Molecule: non-coding RNA, 69 nt
Organism: Podarcis lilfordi (Lilford's wall lizard)
Lineage: Eukaryota; Metazoa; Chordata; Lepidosauria; Squamata; Lacertidae
Source: the annotation of a GenBank genome assembly
GCCAUAGCUCAGCAUUAGAGCUUUUGCUUUGGAUGCAUAAAGUCCCAGGUUCAAUCCCCAGCAUCUCCA